RNAcentral lists this ribosomal RNA (1460 nucleotides) under metagenome. RNAcentral describes it as "bacterial SSU rRNA". It matches the Rfam family "Bacterial small subunit ribosomal RNA". The record is from RNAcentral.
AGAGUUUGAUCCUGGCUCAGGAUGAACGCUGGCGGCGUGCCUAACACAUGCAAGUCGAGCGAUUCCCUUCGGAGAAGAGCGGCGGACGGGUGAGUAACGCGUGGGUAACCUGCCCUGUACACACGGAUAACAUACCGAAAGGUAUGCUAAUACGGGAUAACAUAAGAAAUUCGCAUGUUUUUCUUAUCAAAGCUCCGGCGGUACAGGAUGGACCCGCGUCUGAUUAGCUAGUUGGUGAGGUAACGGCUCACCAAGGCGACGAUCAGUAGCCGACCUGAGAGGGUGAUCGGCCACAUUGGAACUGAGACACGGUCCAGACUCCUACGGGAGGCAGCAGUGGGGAAUAUUGCACAAUGGGCGAAAGCCUGAUGCAGCAACGCCGCGUGAGCGAUGAAGGCCUUCGGGUCGUAAAGCUCUGUCCUCAAGGAAGAUAAUGACGGUACUUGAGGAGGAAGCCCCGGCUAACUACGUGCCAGCAGCCGCGGUAAUACGUAGGGGGCUAGCGUUAUCCGGAUUUACUGGGCGUAAAGGGUGCGUAGGCGGUCUUUUAAGUCAGGAGUGAAAGGCUACGGCUCAACCGUAGUAAGCUCUUGAAACUGGAGGACUUGAGUGUCGGAGGGGCAAUCGGAAUUCCUAGUGUAGCGGUGAAAUGCGUAGAUAUUAGGAGGAACACCAGUGGCGAAGGCGGAUUGCUGGACGAUAACUGACGGUGAGGCGCGAAAGUGUGGGGAGCAAACAGGAUUAGAUACCCUGGUAGUCCACACUGUAAACGAUGAAUACUAGGUGUGCGGGGACUGACCCCCUGCGUGCCGCAGUAAACACAAUAAGUAUUCCACCUGGGGAGUACGAUCGCAAGGUUGAAACUCAAAGGAAUUGACGGGGGCCCGCACAAGCGGUGGAUUAUGUGGUUUAAUUCGAAGCAACGCGAAGAACCUUACCAGGGUUUGACAUCCUGCUAACGAAGUAGAGAUACAUUAGGUGCCCUUCGGGGAAAGCAGAGACAGGUGGCGCAUGGUUGUCGUCAGCUCGUGUCGUGAGAUGUUGGGUUAAGUCCCGCAACGAGCGCAACCCCUAUUGUUAGUUGCUACGCAAGAGCACUCUAGCGAGACUGCCGUUGACAAAACGGAGGAAGGUGGGGACGACGUCAAAUCAUCAUGCCCCUUAUAUCCUGGGCUACACACGUAAUACAAUGGCGGUCAACAGAGGGAAGCAAAGCCGCGAGGCAGAGCAAACCCCCAAAAGCCGUCCCAGUUCAGAUUGUAGGCUGCAACUCGCCUGCAUGAAGUCGGAAUCGCUAGUAAUCGCGGAUCAGCAUGCCGCGGUGAAUACGUUCCCGGGCCUUGUACACACCGCCCGUCACACCAUGAGAGUCGGGAACACCCGAAGUCCGUAGCCUAACCUGAAAAGGAGGGCGCGGCCGAAGGUGGGUUCGAUAAUUGGGGUGAAGUCGUAACAAGGUA